AACGAACGCUGGCGGCAUGCCUAACACAUGCAAGUCGAACGAGACCUCCGGGUCUAGUGGCGCACGGGUGCGUAACGCGUGGGAACCUGCCCUUAGGUUCGGAAUAACUCCCCGAAAGGGGUGCUAAUACCGGAUAAUGUCUUCGGACCAAAGAUUUAUCGCCUUUGGAUGGGCCCGCGUUGGAUUAGCUAGUUGGUAGGGUAAAAGCCUACCAAGGCGACGAUCCAUAGCUGGUCUGAGAGGAUGAUCAGCCACACUGGGACUGAGGCACGGCCCAGACUCCUACGGGAGGCAGGAGUGGGGAAUAUUGGACAGUGGGCGAAAGCCUGAUCCAGCAAUGCCGCGUGAGUGAUGAAGGCCUUGGGGUUGUAAAGCUCUUUUACCCGGGAUGAUAAUGACAGUACCGGGAGAAUAAGCUCCGGCUAACUCCGUG
RNAcentral lists this ribosomal RNA (433 nucleotides) under uncultured bacterium. Its description in RNAcentral is "partial 16S ribosomal RNA". It matches the Rfam family "Bacterial small subunit ribosomal RNA", at positions 29 to 507 of the family's 1533-position model. The record is from RNAcentral.